Molecule: long non-coding RNA, 348 nt
Filed under: Junco hyemalis (dark-eyed junco)
Lineage: Eukaryota; Metazoa; Chordata; Aves; Passeriformes; Passerellidae
Description: lncRNA (ENSJHYG00000002678.1)
Source: RNAcentral
UAAUAUUACAGAGAUAGUAAAUGUACUCAUUCUUUUUAUGCAGCUCAAGUGACAUUGAGGAGAAACCAUGCAAUUAUCCAACUGUACUGACACCAUUAGGGAGCUUGAGCUGGAUCACAGGACUGGUCAAGCCCUUCAGUCCACUUGAAAACACUUUACAAUUUCUGGGAGCUGGACUGGCAAACACACAGAGCUCAUUGCUGAACUACAGGAGUUGGGUAAGUUCUGUUACCUUCAUUGGUCUUGUGUGGCUUUCAAAAUAUGGACUGAGUUGAUGGAGCAAGCAUCUGUGUAGUUGAUGUUACUAGAGGAGUUUGUUUAUUAUACUUUGCACUGAGGUUGUUCCUA